CCUUGACAUGCUGAGAGCUUUCCAGAGAUGGAUUGGUGCCUUCGGGAACUCAGACACAGGUGCUGCAUGGCUGUCGUCAGCUCGUGUCGUGAGAUGUUGGGUUAAGUCCCGUAACGAGCGCAACCCUUGUCCUUAGUUACCAGCACCUCGGGUGGGCACUCUAAGGAGACUGCCGGUGACAAACCGGAGGAAGGUGGGAUGACGCCAAGUCAUCAUGGCCCUUACGGCCAGGGCUACACACGUGCUACAAUGGUCGGUACAAAGGGUUGCCAAGCCGCGAGGUGGAGCUAAUCCCAUAAAACCGAUCGUAGUCCGGAUCGCAGUCUGCAACUCGACUGCGUGAAGUCGGAAUCGCUAGUAAUCGUGAAUCAGAAUGUCACGGUGAAUACGUUCCCGGGCCUUGUACACACCGCCCGUCACACCAUGGGAGUGGGUUGCUCCAGAAGUAGCUAGUCUAACCUUCGGGAGGACGGUUACCACGGAGUGAUUCAUGACUGGGGUGAAGUCGUAACAAGGUAGGCGUAGAUGA
Molecule: ribosomal RNA, 529 nt
Filed under: uncultured bacterium
Lineage: Bacteria
Description: bacterial SSU rRNA
Rfam family: Bacterial small subunit ribosomal RNA
Source: RNAcentral